Molecule: ribosomal RNA, 253 nt
Filed under: uncultured bacterium
Lineage: Bacteria
Description: partial 16S ribosomal RNA
Rfam family: Bacterial small subunit ribosomal RNA
Source: RNAcentral
GACGUAGGGUGCGAGCGUUGUCCGGAUUUAUUGGGCGUAAAGAGCUCGUAGGCGGUCUGUCGCGUCGGAUGUGAAAGCCCGGGGCUUAACCCCGGGUCUGCAUUCGAUACGGGCAGACUAGAGUGUGGUAGGGGAGAUCGGAAUUCCUGGUGUAGCGGUGAAAUGCGCAGAUAUCAGGGGGAACACCGGUGGCGAAGGCGGAUCUCUGGGCCAUUACUGACGCUGAGGAGCGAAAGCGUGGGGAGCGAACAGG